CCUACGGGUGGCUGCAGUGGGGAAUAUUGGGCAAUGGGCGCAAGCCUGACCCAGCAACGCCGCGUGAAGGAAGAAGGCUUUCGGGUUGUAAACUUCUUUUCUUGGGGACGAACAAAUGACGGUACCCCAGGCAUAAGCCACGGCUAACUACGUGCCAGCAGCCCCGUUAAUACGUAGGUGGCAAGCGUUCUCCGGAUUUAUUGGGUGUAACGGGCGUGUAGGCGGGUAUGCAAGUCAGAUGUUAAAACUAUGGGCCCAACCCAUAGCCUGCAUUUGAAACUGUCUGUCUUGAGUGCUGGAGAGGCACGCGGAAUGCCGGGUGUAGCGGUGAAAUGCGUAGAUAUACGGAGGAACACCAGUGGCGAAGGCGGCUUGCUGGACAGUAACUGACGCUGAGGCGCGAAAGCGUGGGGAGCAAACAGGAUUAGAUACCCCAGUAGUC
This 442-nucleotide ribosomal RNA is filed under the name uncultured bacterium. RNAcentral's name for it is "partial 16S ribosomal RNA". It matches the Rfam family "Bacterial small subunit ribosomal RNA", at positions 338 to 795 of the family's 1533-position model. The record is from RNAcentral.